CACGGGUGAGUAACACGUAUCCAACCUGCCGUCUACUCUUGGACAGCCUUCUGAAAGGAAGAUUAAUACAAGAUGGCAUCAUGAGUUCACAUGUUCACAUGAUUAAAGGUAUUCCGGUAGACGAUGGGGAUGCGUUCCAUUAGAUAGUAGGCGGGGUAACGGCCCACCAGCCAACGAUGGAUAGGGGUUCUGAGAGGAAGGUCCCCCACAUUGGAACUGAGACACGGUCCAA
Molecule: ribosomal RNA, 232 nt
Filed under: uncultured bacterium
Lineage: Bacteria
Description: partial 16S ribosomal RNA
Rfam family: Bacterial small subunit ribosomal RNA
Source: RNAcentral